GAUGAACGCUAGCGGGAGGCCUAACACAUGCAAGCCGAGCGGUAUUGUUUCUUCGGAAAUGAGAGAGCGGCGUACGGGUGCGUAACACGUGUGCAACCUGCCUUUAUCUGGGGGAUAGCCUUUCGAAAGGAAGAUUAAUACUCCAUAAUAUAUUGAACGGCAUCGUUUAAUAUUGAAAGCUCCGGCGGAUAGAGAUGGGCACGCGCAAGAUUAGCUAGUUGGUGAGGUAACGGCUCACCAAGGCGAUGAUCUUUAGGGGGCCGGAGAGGGUGAUCCCCCACACUGGUACUGAGACACGGACCAGACUCCUACGGGAGGCAGCAGUGAGGAAUAUUGGUCAAUGGGUGCAAGCCUGAACCAGCCAUCCCGCGUGAAGGACGACUGCCCUAGGGGUUGUAAACUUCUUUUGUAUAGGGAUAAACCUACCCUCGUGAGGGUAGCUGAAGGUACUAUACGAAUAAGCACCGGCUAACUCCGUG
This 479-nucleotide ribosomal RNA is filed under the name uncultured bacterium. RNAcentral describes it as "partial 16S ribosomal RNA". It matches the Rfam family "Bacterial small subunit ribosomal RNA", at positions 28 to 507 of the family's 1533-position model. The record is from RNAcentral.